This 413-nucleotide ribosomal RNA is filed under the name uncultured bacterium. RNAcentral describes it as "partial 16S ribosomal RNA". It matches the Rfam family "Bacterial small subunit ribosomal RNA", at positions 355 to 758 of the family's 1533-position model. The record is from RNAcentral.
UGGGGAAUAUUGCACAAUGGGCGCAAGCCUGAUGCAGCCAUGCCGCGUGUGUGAAGAAGGCCUUCGGGUUGUAAAGCACUUUCAGCGAGGAGGAAGGUGGUGGACUUAAUACGUUCAUCAAUUGACGUUACUCGCAGAAGAAGCACCGGCUAACUCCGUGCCAGCAGCCGCGGUAAUACGGGAGGGUGCAAGCGUUAAUCGGAAUUACUGGGCGUAAAGCGCACGCAGGCGGCUUGUUAAGUCAGAUGUGAAAUCCCCGGGCUCAACCUGGGAACUGCAUUUGAAACUGGCAAGCUAGAGUCUCGUAGAGGGGGGCUAGAAUUCCAGGUGUAGCGGUGAAAUGCGUAGAGAUCUGGAGGAAUACCGGUGGCGAAGGCGGCCCCCUGGACGAAGACUGACGCUCAGGUGCGAAA